AGUGAACGCUGGCGGUAGGCCUAACACAUGCAAGUCGAACGGCAGCACAGUAAGAGCUUGCUCUUACGGGUGGCGAGUGGCGGACGGGUGAGGAAUACAUCGGAAUCUACUUUUUCGUGGGGGAUAACGUAGGGAAACUUACGCUAAUACCGCAUACGACCUACGGGUGAAAGCAUGGGAUCUUCUGACCUUGCGCGAUUGAAUGAGCCGAUGUCGGAUUAGCUAGUUGGCGGGGUAAAGGCCCACCAAGGCGACGAUCCGUAGCUGGUCUGAGAGGAUGAUCAGCCACACUGGAACUGAGACACGGUCCAGACUCCUACGGGAGGCAGCAGUGGGGAAUAUUGGACAAUGGGCGCAAGCCUGAUCCAGCCAUACCGCGUGGGUGAAGAAGGCCUUCGGGUUGUAAAGCCCUUUUGUUGGGAAAGAAAAGCAGCAGGCUAAUACCCCGCUGUUCUGACGGUACCCAAAGAAUAAGCACCGGCUAACUUCGUG
Molecule: ribosomal RNA, 492 nt
Filed under: uncultured bacterium
Lineage: Bacteria
Description: partial 16S ribosomal RNA
Rfam family: Bacterial small subunit ribosomal RNA
Source: RNAcentral